GUAUAAAUGUCUAUUCUGCACAAGGUCAAGGACAAGUCUGGUGGGAUCCAUGCCUGGUUCAUUUUAGUAAAUGUGAGCUUGUCCACGUUGGCCACGUUGGGAUCCAUGCCUGGUUCAUUUUAGUAAAUGUGAGCUUGUCCACGUUGGCAGCUGCGCUUGUCUGUGAUAACCUUGUGCCGAUCGCACGUCCCCGUGACGGCGACAACGCAUUCGGAUGUCUGCCCUAUCAACUUUCUAUGCAAUUUUCUGUGCCUACCAUGAUGACCACGGGUAACGGGGAAUCAGGGUUCGAUUUCAGAGAGGGAGCCUGAGAAACGGCUACCACAUGCAAGGAAGGCAGCAGGCGCACAAAUUACCUACUCCCGACGUGGGGAGGUAGUGACGACAAAUAACAAUACACUACUCUUUCGAGGCCCUGUAAUUUUUAUGAGUCCACUUUAAAUCCUUAAACUUGGAUCAAUUGGAGGGCAAGUCUGGUGCAGAGCGACUGACCCAUGCGUGCUGCAGCUGAAACUCCACU
Non-coding RNA from Pelobates cultripes (western spadefoot toad), 520 nucleotides. NCBI's taxonomy places the organism in Eukaryota, Metazoa, Chordata, Amphibia, Anura, Pelobatidae. The record is from the annotation of a GenBank genome assembly.